GACGAACGCUGGCGGCGUGCUUAACACAUGCAAGUCGAACGGAAAGGCCCUGCUUUUGUGGGGUGCUCGAGUGGCGAACGGGUGAGUAACACGUGAGUAACCUGCCCUUGACUUUGGGAUAACUUCAGGAAACUGGGGCUAAUACCGGAUAGGAGCUCCUGCUGCAUGGUGGGGGCUGGAAAGUUUCGGCGGUUGGGGAUGGACUCGCGGCUUAUCAGCUUGUUGGUGGGGUAGUGGCUUACCAAGGCUUUGACGGGUAGCCGGCCUGAGAGGGUGACCGGCCACAUUGGGACUGAGAUACGGCCCAGACUCCUACGGGAGGCGGCAGUGGGGAAUAUUGCACAAUGGGCGGGAGCCUGAUGCAGCAACGCCGCGUGCGGGAUGACGGCCUUCGGGUUGUAAACCGCUUUCGCCUGUGACGAAGCGUGAGUGACGGUAAUGGGUAAAGAAGCACCGGCUAACUACGUG
This 468-nucleotide ribosomal RNA is filed under the name uncultured bacterium. Its description in RNAcentral is "partial 16S ribosomal RNA". It matches the Rfam family "Bacterial small subunit ribosomal RNA", at positions 28 to 507 of the family's 1533-position model. The record is from RNAcentral.